This 266-nucleotide ribosomal RNA is filed under the name uncultured Fusibacter sp. RNAcentral's name for it is "partial 16S ribosomal RNA". It matches the Rfam family "Bacterial small subunit ribosomal RNA", at positions 1117 to 1382 of the family's 1533-position model. The record is from RNAcentral. Lineage: Bacteria; Bacillati; Bacillota; Clostridia; Eubacteriales; Fusibacteraceae.
GCAAACAGGUCAAGCUGUGCACUCUAGACAGACUGCCGUGGACAACACGGAGGAAGUGGGGGAUGACGUCAAAUCAUCAUGCCCCUUAUGAUCUGGGCUACACACGUGCUACAAUGGCCGGUACAACGGGCAGCGAAGGAGCGAUCCGGAGCGAAUCCUAAAAAGCCGGUCCCAGUUCGGAUUGCAGGCUGAAACUCGCCUACAUGAAGUUGGAGUUGCUAGUAAUCGCGAAUCAGAAUGUCGCGGUGAAUGCGUUCCCGGGUCUU